UUGAUUUAAUGUUGUUUAAAUCUUGACCAUUGGUAUAAUUUUAAGGGAUACUGGUUACUGGCUAAACAGGUUAUAUAUAUAAACCAAAAAAAAUAAAGCAAAAGAAUGCAGAAUCAUUCACGCAUCAACAACGCCUCUGGUUUUCCUCUCUACUCUGUCUCGUCUCAAUGUUAAAGCCUCUCCAAUCCAACCUCAAAUCCACAUCCAAUCCAACUCAGCGGCGCUUCUUCUAUCUCUCUGCCCUUUUGUUCGAAGUUUCCACCGUUUAUUGAAUCUAAAAUCUCAGGUUGCUAGGAACAAAACCAAUCUAUUAUUCCUUUUGGUUCAUAGCAGGUUCAUAGUAGGUACAGGACUGGGAAGCUGCUUUUGAAGUUGGAUACCAUUAGAUUCAUAGCAGCAAAUCAUACCAUAAUUUCAGCUCUGAACUAUAUCUUUAAAUAAAAAAACAUUUUCCACUUUUUAUCUGACUGUCUAUGAAAUGAAUCUUUAUACUUAUCGUAGUCACUCUUGUGCACUCAUUUCUUUUGGAUUAUGGUAUUUUACACUGCCUAAUAGCAGCAACGACUGCAAUGGCGACCCAACCUAGUGGCUAUAGUGAUGCUUGAAUAGUGAAAAUGCCCGUGAGACAAGAUUGAGUAGCCUAACUCCCUGUUUCAUCUUUUCAUUUUAUGGAAAUUGAUUUAUAUCAAAGUUUUUGUUGUGCUUGUGGUUGGAGAAGAACACCUACUCUAACAGAUGCACACUUGUGUUAUUGUGAUGGAAUUUGGAGUUGAUUAGACAUGCGGCCCUCUUGUCCACAUUAGCUGCCAUAUUUGUUAUUUUUUAGGGUCUAUCCUGACUGAGUUCAUUUACUUGAUAUAAAAUUUUUUAUUUAUCUGAGUUUUGGUUAAAUGUGGAAUCAAUUGGAAAAAAGAAUUAUCUUUUCUUUUUUCUAAGAUCUAAUCAUAUUAGCUUCUGCCCCUCUCUUUGCAUCUGCAUUCUUUUAAUAAGUGAAGGAUAGAAGUUAAAUAAGUAAUGACUAAUGAACAAUGUAUGCAACUAAAAACAUAUAUACAGAUAUAUGUCAAUUGUUUUGGUUAAACUUCAUUUUUUGGUUACUGUUAUCACAUUAUUAGUUUUUGGAAUAGAGUUACUGGAUUGGAGUUGGUAUUAAGUUCAUCUUGUUAUCACUAGUUCUUUUUAGUUGCUUGCUUUAUGUUUUCUGAUAUAACAAACUCUUUGAGUACCGAUCUUAGAAGCAAACCCCGAGUUCUUAGUCAUGUGGCUUAAUGGUUAGAAAUUUUCUGUUCUAGGUUCUGUUUUUAUUUUUCUUUUCUUUUUUCUCAUUUUUCAGCUGCUAACCAGAACAAUAUUUUUAUGGAACUAUGACAUGAACAAUAUUUUUAGUCACUUCCUUUUUGCUUGUCUAAUGUUUUCUGUUUUUCAUUUCAGCUAGUGCUUAUAUACCUGGAGCACUAGAUUUGAUGACUGACUUACUUCACAACCUCCAAUAUAAGACUAUGAAUUAUGGUUUCCAUAUGACAAUUACAAAAUGGGAUGAAGUUGUUUCAAAAGAAAUGGAAAUCAUGGUUAAGGAAAAAGGUUGCUUUUCUUAUAUUUUCUGUUUGUAUUGUAUGGAUUUCAUCUUACAUUGGACCUUUGUGAACACUUCUUUAAUUUCCUUUU
Long non-coding RNA from Quercus robur (English oak), 1665 nucleotides. RefSeq lists it as uncharacterized. Lineage: Eukaryota; Viridiplantae; Streptophyta; Magnoliopsida; Fagales; Fagaceae. The record is from RefSeq and is a predicted model, not a curated record. The transcript is spliced from 3 exons.